Molecule: ribosomal RNA, 465 nt
Filed under: Vreelandella stevensii
Lineage: Bacteria; Pseudomonadati; Pseudomonadota; Gammaproteobacteria; Oceanospirillales; Halomonadaceae
Description: partial 16S ribosomal RNA
Rfam family: Bacterial small subunit ribosomal RNA
Source: RNAcentral
CCUACGGGAGGCUGCAGUGGGGAAUAUUGGACAAUGGGGGGAACCCUGAUCCAGCCAUGCCGCGUGUGUGAAGAAGGCCCUCGGGUUGUAAAGCACUUUCAGUGAGGAAGAACGCCUGGUGGUUAAUACCCAUCAGGAAAGACAUCACUCACAGAAGAAGCACCGGCUAACUCCGUGCCAGCAGCCGCGGUAAUACGGAGGGUGCGAGCGUUAAUCGGAAUUACUGGGCGUAAAGCGCGCGUAGGUGGCUUGAUAAGCCGGUUGUGACAGCCCCGGGCUCAACCUGGGAACGGCAUCCGGAACUGUCAAGCUAGAGUGCAGGAGAGGAAGGUAGAAUUCCCGGUGUAGCGGUGAAAUGCGUAGAGAUCGGGAGGAAUACCAGUGGCGAAGGCGGCCUUCUGGACUGACACUGACACUGAGGUGCGAAAGCGUGGGUAGCAAACAGGAUUAGAUACCCUAGUAGUC